GGGAGUGGAAUUCUGAGCCAAAGGAGACCCGUGUUUCCAAUGUACCUGCACUGUGGAAAGUUCGAAGGAGUGGACCCCUCGCCAGCAGUGAUACAUGGAAUAGAAAUGCACUCCAGGCAUGCUGGGAUACAGAGGAAAACUAUGUGCCCAUGGAGGUGAUUCCUACAAGAAUUUACUGAGGAGAGGGAUCUGGUGAGCAAUCCAGAAAAAGGGUUCUAGGUUCCUUCCUGAGGGUUCCUCACAGGCCGCCUUCAGAGACGGAGGAGGCAGCAUCCACGAAAUAAGCCCAAAUCUGUGCCUCUUCCACACGAACAUUGCACACACUGUUCUAGAACCUGGUGUGGCUCCACAAGGAAGAGCCCCUGCUAGGCGAGCAGCCACACAGAAUGCAGAGAGGAGCCUUCACUCAUCUUGAGUAGGGAAGAAUGAGCCAGGGCCUGUGAGGCACAUGGAGAUACUUGUCUGAAGGAUUUGGCUGGCUCUUAGAAAUCACCGCUCAGAUGCCUGAAGCAGAGGCAGAAACACCUGCAGUGGCUGCUGCCCUGCAGGCACCUCUGUCCUGGAGUCACCAAGAACAUCUACCUCCCUGCUCCUCUGAAGAGAAGCCCAGGACACCUGUUGCUGAGGGGCCAGGUAGUUAGUGUGGGCCAGGUAGUUAGUGUGGUAGUUAGUGUAGAGCAGACUGGCU
This 688-nucleotide long non-coding RNA is filed under the name Cricetulus griseus (Chinese hamster). RNAcentral describes it as "lncRNA (ENSCGRG00015032954.1)". The record is from RNAcentral. Lineage: Eukaryota; Metazoa; Chordata; Mammalia; Rodentia; Cricetidae.